RNAcentral lists this ribosomal RNA (494 nucleotides) under uncultured bacterium. RNAcentral's name for it is "partial 16S ribosomal RNA". It matches the Rfam family "Bacterial small subunit ribosomal RNA", at positions 28 to 507 of the family's 1533-position model. The record is from RNAcentral.
GACGAACGCUGGCGGCGUGCUUAACACAUGCAAGUCGAACGGAAAGGCCUGCUUUCCCUUGUGGAUUGCGGGUACUCGAGUGGCGAACGGGUGAGUAACACGUGAGUGAUCUGCCCCCAACUUGGGUAUAAGCCUGGGAAACUGGGUCUAAUUCCCGAUAGGACUGCAGGGUGGUGCCUGUGGUGGAAAACGAUUUUCUAGUGGUUGGGGAUGAGCUCGCGGCCUAUCAGCUUGUUGGUGGGGUAAUGGCCUACCAAGGCGGCGACGGGUAGCCGGCCUGAGAGGGUGGACGGCGACAUUGGGACUGAGAUACGGCCCAGACUCCUACGGGAGGCAGCAGUGGGGAAUAUAGCACAAUGGGCGGAAGCCUGAUGCAGCGACGCCGCGUGGGGGAUGACGGCCUUCGGGUUGUAAACUCCUCUCGACCGCGAGGAAGCCACCUGGUUGGAAGGGUGGUGACGGUAGUGGUAGAAGAAGCACCGGCUAACUACGUG